RNAcentral lists this ribosomal RNA (478 nucleotides) under uncultured bacterium. RNAcentral describes it as "bacterial SSU rRNA". It matches the Rfam family "Bacterial small subunit ribosomal RNA", at positions 21 to 518 of the family's 1533-position model. The record is from RNAcentral.
GGCUUAGGAUGAACGCUGGCGGCGCGCCUAACACAUGCAAGUCGAGCGGCGAAGGGGGAUUCGUCCCCGGACCAGCGGCGAACGGGUGAGUAACGCGUGGGCAACCUGCCCCGGGCCCGGGGAUAGCGGGGGGAAACCCCCGGUAAGACCCGACGCGCCCGGAGGGGGGCAUCCCCCUCCGGGCGAAGGAGACGGCCCGGGAUGGGCCCGCGUCCCAUCAGCCAGACGGCGGGGCGACGGCCCACCGUGGCGACAACGGGUAGCCGGACUGAGAGGUCGGCCGGCCACAUUGGGACUGAGACACGGCCCAGACUCCUACGGGAGGCAGCAGUGGGGAAUAUUGCGCAAUGGGCGCAAGCCUGACGCAGCGACGCCGCGUGCGGGAUGGAGGCCCUCGGGCCGUGAACCGCUUUCGGCGGGGAGGACAUUCGACCGUACCCGCAUAAGAAGCCCCGGCUAACUACGUGCCAGCCGCAGC